GUUUGGCUUGCAGAAAAGUACUUGAAAUCUGUGUGCAAUCCUCAGUAAAGAAAAGUUUUAUUUUAUGAAUGCAAAGUUUAACAAGCAAAUACAUUUCAUCUGCUUUAUAACAAGGAGAAUAUUGCUGUGAUUUAAAAGUCUGAGAUAUUUUCUGGGAGUAUUUCUCUAUGUUCUUACUGCAGAUUUCUCUGUAUUUAUCUUAGUGGGAACUACUAGUUGAUAGGACAAAAUGUGAUUGCAGGAUCUUUUAGCUUUAGAAGGUCCUAUUCAGUAUUCCCCAUGUGUGAAAAUCUCACUAGCUGGUAUUACAAGGGCAGAAUCUUAAUGCACUUCUUUGGGUCUGUUCUGUAGAGUGUUGGUUUGAUGUGGCCUCUGCCUUUUCACUGGCUAAUCGAGGUCCACUGGGACUGCAGAUGGGUUCCAAGAGAGUACAAUUGAUUAGAUGCAUAUUUUCUGAAUUAUACAACAGAUCACACCCAGCUGCACAGCUUUUCUCAGAACUGCAGGUUCAGCAAUACAACGGAUCAGUUAGAGAAGCUGCUGCUGCUUUUCAAAGAACUGAAGAGUGGUCAGUAAAGAAGAGGAAAAGCCACUUGGCAUGGCAAGAAAAAGGUGCUGUUCCACCGAAUUCUUGA
Molecule: long non-coding RNA, 635 nt
Filed under: Lonchura striata (white-rumped munia)
Lineage: Eukaryota; Metazoa; Chordata; Aves; Passeriformes; Estrildidae
Description: domestica (Bengalese finch) lncRNA (ENSLSDG00000017203.1)
Source: RNAcentral